GGUUAGUGGCGGACGGGUGAGUAACGCGUGAGAAUCUGCCCUCAGGAGGGGGAUAACAGUUGGAAACGACUGCUAAUACCCCAUAUGCCGAGAGGUGAAACGAAUUUUGCCUGGGGAUGAGCUCGCGUCUGAUUAGCUUGUUGGUGGGGUAAAAGCCUACCAAGGCUUCGACCAGUAGCUGGUCUGAGAGGACGAUCAGCCACACUGGGACUGAGAUACGGCCCAGACUCCUACGGGAGGCAGCAGUGGGGAAUUUUCCGCAAUGGGCGCAAGCCUGACGGAGCAACGCCUCGUGAGGGAUGAAGGCCUUUGGGGUGGAAACCUCUUUUCUCAAGGAAGAAGAUCUGACGGUACUUGAGGAAUAAGCCACGGCUAAUUCCGUGCCAGCAGCCGCGGUAAUACGGGAGUGGCAAGCGUUAUCCGGAAUUAUUGGGCGUAAAGCGUCCGCAGGCGGCCGUUUAAGUCUGUUGUUAAAUCGUGGAGCUCAACUCCAUCACGGCAAUGGAAACUGUUCGGCUUUGAGUAUGGUAGGGGCAGAGGGAAUUUCCGGUGUAGCGGUGAAAUGCGUAGAUAUCGGGAAG
Molecule: ribosomal RNA, 581 nt
Filed under: uncultured bacterium
Lineage: Bacteria
Description: bacterial SSU rRNA
Rfam family: Bacterial small subunit ribosomal RNA
Source: RNAcentral